GGUUGAAUUCAGUGUCGUAGCAGGAAUUCUUAGAGCUGGCCGUCCCAAGAUGGGGUGGAGAGAGCGGCAUGAAAGAGAGAGAGAGAGAGAGACACGCCUGAAUGGCAGCAGCAGGCCUUAGCGGCAAAGGACAGCAGGCACAGGACCAGCUUUGCCUUGAGCCGCAACGCUGAUGCCAGAAAAGGACAACCUCUCCAGAAUCGCCGCAGUGUGCUUCC
This is a long non-coding RNA of Gorilla gorilla gorilla (western lowland gorilla), 218 nucleotides long. It matches the Rfam family "FTX transcript, XIST regulator conserved region 5". The record is from Rfam. Lineage: Eukaryota; Metazoa; Chordata; Mammalia; Primates; Hominidae.